This 73-nucleotide transfer RNA is filed under the name Corynoplastis japonica. RNAcentral describes it as "tRNA-Met". It matches the Rfam family "tRNA". Rfam says of the family: Transfer RNA (tRNA) molecules are approximately 80 nucleotides in length. Their secondary structure includes four short double-helical elements and three loops (D, anti-codon, and T loops). The record is from RNAcentral. Lineage: Eukaryota; Rhodophyta; Rhodellophyceae; Rhodellales; Rhodellaceae.
GGCUCUGUAGCUCAGCGGUUAGAGCAGGGGAUUCAUAAGCCCAAGGUCGCAGGUUCAAUUCCAGCCUGAGCCA